Molecule: ribosomal RNA, 253 nt
Filed under: uncultured bacterium
Lineage: Bacteria
Description: partial 16S ribosomal RNA
Rfam family: Bacterial small subunit ribosomal RNA
Source: RNAcentral
UACAGAGGGUGCGAGCGUUAAUCGGAAUUACUGGGCGUAAAGCGCGCGUAGGCGGCUUUUCAAGUCGAUUGUGAAAUCCCCGGGCUUAACCUGGGAACUGCAGUCGAGACUGUCUAGCUAGAGUAUGGGAGAGGGAAGUGGAAUUUCAGGUGUAGCGGUGAGAUGCGUAGAUAUCUGAAGGAACAUCAGUGGCGAAAGCGACUUCCUGGACCAAUACUGACGCUCAUGUGCGAAAGCGUGGGGAGCAAACAGG